GUGAUCUGCUUUGGCCAAUAAGCUGUGGUGGAAGUGAUGGAGUGCCAGUACUGAGUGAGGCCUUCAAGUGGCUUUGCAGGUUUUUCUCUCCCUCUUAGAACUCUGCCCAGCUACCAUGAAAAUAAGCCCAAAGUAACCUGCUGGAGGAUGAGACACCACGUGGAAGACAGACAAGCCAUGCCACUGCCUGUGGAUGCAUAGCAGGCAGUUGGCUGGAGAGAAAAGAGUAAUUCUGUGGGCAGGCUGGCUGAACGCUGCUCAGGCAGACAGCGUCCCCUGGACAAGUUGGCCAUGGAUUGGGGAGGUGGAGAGAGACCAGGAAGGAGCAGCAGCAUCUCCUGUCUUUGCAGCUGUGGCCUCCCGUAGUUCACUGGAUUAAGUAAAAGCUCUGCAGCAGACUUCAUUUCCAUUGGCUCCCACCUGCUUCCAGCAAUUAGAGGAUCAUUUGGAAUAGGAGAUUUGCAUCUGAAGCCUCAUUCACACCUUCCUGCAAAUGCCCGCAAUCCAUCUCCUUACCUUCUAAGAGGAGGACAUCAAAGGGAGCGUGGAGAGAGGGAAGGCUGGACGGAGUAGACUUUCACCAGGAGGACAGUACUGACGGGACAGAAGGGUCAAAGGGAGAAGGAAGGAGGUGUGGAGAGGUCCUUAAGGGAGAUGGGAGAGCAGCAGAGACCAGGGGCCCCCUGUGCUGUUUGGGUGAGGACCAGGGACGCAGCAGAGCCUGCAGACUGCAUAACACAGGAUCAUGGCUAGUGAGCACAGAAAGUGUGGCUGGUAUGACAGGAAAACUCUACUUUUAAUAUUAUUUAAUUUUAAUUCAAGUGACAACUGAAAAUCUGAAGCAAGAUAAAAAUACUUUCCAUUGAACACAACUUUGAUAUUAUUACAUAUUUCGUACUUUUUAAAUUGUUAAAAUUUGUUUCACCUGGUUGUUUUUGUUUGUUUGUUUGUUUUUGAGGAAGAUUAGCCAUGAGCUAACUACUGCCAGUCCUCCUCUUUUUGCUGAGGAAGACCAGCCCUGAGCUAACAUCCAUGUCCAUCUUCCUCUAUUUUAUACAUGGGACGCCUACCACAGCAUGGCUUUUGCCAGGCGGUGCCAUGUCUGCACCCGGGAUCCAAACUGGUGAACCCCGGGCCGCUGAGAAGUGGAAUGUGUGAAUUUAACCACAGCGCCACGGAGCCAGCCCCCUCACCUGGUUGUUUUUAAUGUGGCUACUAGAAAAUUG
This 1226-nucleotide long non-coding RNA is filed under the name Equus asinus (donkey). Its description in RNAcentral is "lncRNA (ENSEASG00005028394.1)". The record is from RNAcentral. Lineage: Eukaryota; Metazoa; Chordata; Mammalia; Perissodactyla; Equidae.